UGACUACUCCCUCAGUUUCAAAAUACAUGACUUCCAUUUGUCAAAAUAUAGAUGUAUGUAGACAUGUUUUAGUAUAUAGAUACAUUCAUUUUUGAACAAAUAAAAGUCAAGUAUUUGGGAACGGAGGGAGUUUGUU
Molecule: non-coding RNA, 136 nt
Organism: Triticum aestivum (bread wheat)
Lineage: Eukaryota; Viridiplantae; Streptophyta; Magnoliopsida; Poales; Poaceae
Source: Rfam